GACGAAUGCUGGCGGCGUGCCUAAUACAUGCAAGUAGAACGCACAGUUUAUACCGUAGCUUGCUACACCAUAGACUGUGAGUUGCGAACGGGUGAGUAACGCGUAGGUAACCUGCCUGGUAGCGGGGGAUAACUAUUGGAAACGAUAGCUAAUACCGCAUAAUAUUGAUUAUUGCAUGAUAAUUGAUUGAAAGAUGCUAUUGCAUCACUACCAGAUGGACCUGCGUUGUAUUAGCUAGUAGGUGAGGUAACGGCUCACCUAGGCGACGAUACAUAGCCGACCUGAGAGGGUGAUCGGCCACACUGGGACUGAGACACGGCCCAGACUCCUACGGGAGGCAGCAGUAGGGAAUCUUCGGCAAUGGACGAAAGUCUGACCGAGCAACGCCGCGUGAGUGAAGAAGGUUUUCGGAUCGUAAAGCUCUGUUGUAAGAGAAGAACGGGUGUGAGAGUGGAAAGUUCACACUGUGACGGUAUCUUACCAGAAAGGGACGGCUAACUACGUG
Molecule: ribosomal RNA, 505 nt
Filed under: uncultured bacterium
Lineage: Bacteria
Description: partial 16S ribosomal RNA
Rfam family: Bacterial small subunit ribosomal RNA
Source: RNAcentral